This 537-nucleotide long non-coding RNA is filed under the name Manacus vitellinus (golden-collared manakin). RNAcentral's name for it is "lncRNA (ENSMVIG00005017809.1)". Lineage: Eukaryota; Metazoa; Chordata; Aves; Passeriformes; Pipridae. The record is from RNAcentral.
GCGAGUUCGGGCCACUGCUGGUGCUGAGCUGCCGCGUGUGCCUAGAGGAGAAGCCCAUCAAGCCCCUGUCCUGCUGCAAGAAGGCGGUGUGCGAGGAGUGCCUGCGGCGGUACCUCAGCUCCCAGGUGCAGCUGGGACAAGUGGAUAUAAAAUGUCCUAUCACAGAGUGCAGCGAACACCUGGAUGAAACAACUGUCCUCUAUAACCUGCCCCAUGAUGACAUCAUCAAGUAUAAAUAUUUCCUGGAACUCAGCCGCAUUGACUCCAGCACCAAGCCAUGUCCUCAGUGCAAGCACUUUACAACCUUCCGGAGGAGAGGCCACAUUCCUACCCCUGCCAAAUUGGAGAACAAAUACAAAAUCCAGUGUCCGUCUUGCCAAUUUGUUUGGUGUUUCAAGUGCCACUCUCCCUGGCAUGAAGGCGUUAACUGCAAAGAAUACAAGAAGGGAGACAAGCUGUUGCGUCACUGGGCCAACGAAAUUGAACAUGGGCAGAGGAAUGCCCAGAAGUGUCCAAAAUGCAAGAUCCACAUCCAGA